ACUCCUACGGGAGGCAGCAGUGGGGAAUAUUGGACAAUGGGGGGAACCCUGAUCCAGCCAUGCCGCGUGUGUGAAGAAGGCCUUAUGGUUGUAAAGCACUUUAAGCGAGGAGGAGGCUACUAGUAUUAAUACUACUGGAUUAGUGGACGUUACUCGCAGAAUAAGCACCGGCUAACUCUGUGCCAGCAGCCGCGGUAAUACAGAGGGUGCGAGCGUUAAUCGGAUUUACUGGGCGUAAAGCGUGCGUAGGCGGCCAUUUAAGUCAAAUGUGAAAUCCCCCGAGCUUAACUUGGGAAUUGCAUUCGAUACUGGAUGGCUAGAGUAUGGGAGAGGGAUGGUAGAAUUCCAGGUGUAGCGGUGAAAUGCGUAGAGAUCUGGAGGAAUACCGAUGGCGAAGGCAGCCAUCUGGCCUAAUACUGACGCUGAGGUACGAAAGCAUGGGGAGCAAACAGGAUUAGAUACCCUGGUA
RNAcentral lists this ribosomal RNA (469 nucleotides) under uncultured bacterium. RNAcentral describes it as "bacterial SSU rRNA". It matches the Rfam family "Bacterial small subunit ribosomal RNA", at positions 335 to 792 of the family's 1533-position model. The record is from RNAcentral.